GUGGAUGUAGCUCAGUGGUAGAGUUCAAGAUUGUGGAUCUUGCCGUCGCGGGUUCAAACCCCGUCAUCCACCC
Molecule: transfer RNA, 73 nt
Filed under: Spirochaetia bacterium
Lineage: Bacteria; Pseudomonadati; Spirochaetota; Spirochaetia
Also listed under: 1 other name
Description: tRNA-His
Rfam family: tRNA
About the family: Transfer RNA (tRNA) molecules are approximately 80 nucleotides in length. Their secondary structure includes four short double-helical elements and three loops (D, anti-codon, and T loops).
Source: RNAcentral